GGCGGCAGGCCUAACACAUGCAAGUCGAGCGGUAGAGAGAAGCUUGCUUCUCUUGAGAGCGGCGGACGGGUGAGUAAUGCCUAGGAAUCUGCCUGGUAGUGGGGGAUAACGCUCGGAAACGGACGCUAAUACCGCAUACGUCCUACGGGAGAAAGCAGGGGACCUUCGGGCCUUGCGCUAUCAGAUGAGCCUAGGUCGGAUUAGCUAGUUGGUGAGGUAAUGGCUCACCAAGGCGACGAUCCGUAACUGGUCUGAGAGGAUGAUCAGUCACACUGGAACUGAGACACGGUCCAGACUCCUACGGGAGGCAGCAGUGGGGAAUAUUGGACAAUGGGCGAAAGCCUGAUCCAGCCAUGCCGCGUGUGUGAAGAAGGUCUUCGGACUGUAAAGCACUUUAAGUUGGGAGGAAGGGCAGUAAAUUAAUACUUUGCUGUUUUGACGUUACCGACAGAAUAAGCACCGGCUAACUCUGUGCCAGCAGCCGCGGUAAUACAGAGGGUGCAAGCGUUAAUCGGAAUUACUGGGCGUAAAGCGCGCGUAGGUGGUUCGUUAAGUUGGAUGU
RNAcentral lists this ribosomal RNA (562 nucleotides) under uncultured Gammaproteobacteria bacterium. RNAcentral describes it as "bacterial SSU rRNA". It matches the Rfam family "Bacterial small subunit ribosomal RNA", at positions 38 to 595 of the family's 1533-position model. Lineage: Bacteria; Pseudomonadati; Pseudomonadota; Gammaproteobacteria. The record is from RNAcentral.